GGACCCGCACAAGUAGUGGAGCAUGUGGUUUAAUUCGAAGAUACGCGCAGAACCUUACCAACACUUGACAUGUUCGUCGCGACUUUAAGAGAUUAAAGUUUUCGGUUCGGCCGGACGAAACACAGGUGCUGCAUGGCUGUCGUCAGCUCGUGUCGUGAGAUGUUGGUUAAGUCCCGCAACGAGCGCAACCCUCACUUUUAGUUGCCAUCAUUAAGUUGGGCACUCUGAAAGAACUGCCAGUGAUAAGCUGGAGGAAGGUGGGGAUGACGUCAAGUCCUCAUGGCCCUUACGUGUUGGGCUACACACGUGCUACAAUGGUAUCUACAACAGGAAGCAAGACUGCGAAGUUAAG
Molecule: ribosomal RNA, 352 nt
Filed under: uncultured bacterium
Lineage: Bacteria
Description: bacterial SSU rRNA
Rfam family: Bacterial small subunit ribosomal RNA
Source: RNAcentral